UACGUAGGGUGCGAGCGUUAAUCGGAAUUACUGGGCGUAAAGCGUGCGCAGGCGGUUUUGUAAGCCAGAUGUGAAAUCCCCGGGCUUAACCUGGGAAUGGCAUUUGGGACUGCAAGGCUGGAGUUUGGCAGAGGAGACUGGAAUUCCGCGUGUAGCAGUGAAAUGCGUAGAUAUGCGGAGGAACACCGAUGGCGAAGGCAAUCCCCUGGGCCUGCACUGACGCUCAUGCACGAAAGCGUGGGGAGCGAACAGG
This 253-nucleotide ribosomal RNA is filed under the name uncultured bacterium. RNAcentral's name for it is "partial 16S ribosomal RNA". It matches the Rfam family "Bacterial small subunit ribosomal RNA", at positions 524 to 776 of the family's 1533-position model. The record is from RNAcentral.